GAUGAACGCUGGCGACGUGCCUAAUACAUGCAAGUAGAACGUUGAAGCUUGGUGCUUGCACCGAGCGGAUGAGUUGCGAACGGGUGAGUAACGCGUAGGUAACCUGCCUCUUAGCGGGGGAUAACUAUUGGAAACGAUAGCUAAUACCGCAUAAAAGUCGAUAUCGCAUGAUAUUGAUUUGAAAGGUGCAAUUGCAUCACUAAGAGAUGGACCUGCGUUGUAUUAGCUAGUUGGUGAGGUAACGGCUCACCAAGGCGACGAUACAUAGCCGACCUGAGAGGGUGAUCGGCCACACUGGGACUGAGACACGGCCCAGACUCCUACGGGAGGCAGCAGUAGGGAAUCUUCGGCAAUGGGGGCAACCCUGACCGAGCAACGCCGCGUGAGUGAAGAAGGUUUUCGGAUCGUAAAGCUCUGUUGUAAGAGAAGAACGAGUGUGAGAGUGGAAAGUUCACACUGUGACGGUAACUUACCAGAAAGGGACGGCUAACUACGUG
RNAcentral lists this ribosomal RNA (497 nucleotides) under uncultured bacterium. RNAcentral's name for it is "partial 16S ribosomal RNA". It matches the Rfam family "Bacterial small subunit ribosomal RNA", at positions 28 to 507 of the family's 1533-position model. The record is from RNAcentral.